Molecule: transfer RNA, 75 nt
Filed under: Sheathia arcuata
Lineage: Eukaryota; Rhodophyta; Florideophyceae; Batrachospermales; Batrachospermaceae
Also listed under: 1 other name
Description: tRNA-His
Rfam family: tRNA
About the family: Transfer RNA (tRNA) molecules are approximately 80 nucleotides in length. Their secondary structure includes four short double-helical elements and three loops (D, anti-codon, and T loops).
Source: RNAcentral
GGCGGAGAGAGUUCGAUAGGCUGAACAAUAGAUUGUGAAUCUAAAAGUUGCGGGUUCGAGUCCCGUUCUUCGCCA